GACAUGUGGAACGCUUAGAAGUGAGAAUGCCGGUGUGAGUAGCGAAAGACGGGUGAGAAUCCCGUCCACCGAUUGACUAAGGUUUCCAGAGGAAGGCUCGUCCGCUCUGGGUUAGUCGGGUCCUAAGCUGAGGCCGACAGGCGUAGGCGAUGGAUAACAGGUUGAUAUUCCUGUACCACCUAUAAUCGUUUUAAUCGAUGGGGGGACGCAGUAGGAUAGGCGAAGCGUGCGAUUGGAUUGCACGUCUAAG
Molecule: ribosomal RNA, 250 nt
Filed under: Enterobacter hormaechei
Lineage: Bacteria; Pseudomonadati; Pseudomonadota; Gammaproteobacteria; Enterobacterales; Enterobacteriaceae
Description: partial 23S ribosomal RNA
Rfam family: Bacterial large subunit ribosomal RNA
Source: RNAcentral